This is a long non-coding RNA of Gossypium arboreum, 318 nucleotides long. RefSeq lists it as uncharacterized. The record is from RefSeq and is a predicted model, not a curated record. The transcript has 2 exons. Lineage: Eukaryota; Viridiplantae; Streptophyta; Magnoliopsida; Malvales; Malvaceae.
AGAGAAACGAGAUUCAAGUCGUGAUCGAGGGAAAAUAAAGUUUACGAGGAAUAAGCUCGAUUGCUAAUAUUUUAUAUCGAGUUUUGAUAAGCCAGCUCGGAAAUCGGGAACGGUCGGAGGCCCACUCACACUAUCCGUAUACCAUCAUGGCGUAAUGGCUUGUAUAUUUUGAGUAUGGCAUGUAUAGCAUUAUAAUCAUUUUGUAUAUAUGGUCUUAUGAUAUGGAUAUUGAGUGGUAUGGAAAUGUUUGGUAAUGAUUAGCCAUUGGAAUGGCUAAUCAUGAUCAUAUUUGGUGUUAUAUAUGCUAAAUUGCUAGCU